AGCGAACGCUGGCGGCAGGCUUAACACAUGCAAGUCGAGCGGAUGUAGCAAUACAUCAGCGGCAGACGGGUGAGUAACACGUGGGAACGUACCUUUUGGUUCGGAACAACACAGGGAAACGUUGUGCUAAUACCGGAUAAGCCCUUACGGGAAGAUUAUCGCCGAAAGAUCGGCCCGCGUCUGAUUAGCUAGUUGGUGAGGUAACGGCUCACCAAGGCGACGAUCAGUAGCUGGUCUGAGAGGAUGAUCAGCCACAUUGGGUACGUGAGACACGGCCCAAACUCCUACGGGAGGCAGCAGUGGGGAAGUAUUGGGCGAAUGGGCGCAAGUCUGAUCCAGCCAUGCCGCGUGAGUGAUG
This 358-nucleotide ribosomal RNA is filed under the name uncultured bacterium. Its description in RNAcentral is "bacterial SSU rRNA". It matches the Rfam family "Bacterial small subunit ribosomal RNA", at positions 29 to 410 of the family's 1533-position model. The record is from RNAcentral.